Molecule: ribosomal RNA, 253 nt
Filed under: uncultured bacterium
Lineage: Bacteria
Description: partial 16S ribosomal RNA
Rfam family: Bacterial small subunit ribosomal RNA
Source: RNAcentral
UACGUAGGCAGCAAGCGUUGAUCGGAAUUACUGGGCGUAAAGAGUGUGUAGGCGGUGCUCUAAGUCUGUUGUGAAAUCUCCCGGCUUAACUGGGAGGGUGCGGCGGAGACUGGAGUGCUAGAGUGUGGGAGAGGUAAGCGGAAUUCCUGGUGUAGCGGUGAAAUGCGUAGAUAUCAGGAGGAACACCUGUGGUGUAGACAGCUUACUGGACCACGACUGACGCUGAGACACGAAAGCGUGGGUAGCAAACAGG